This is a non-coding RNA of Paramuricea clavata, 124 nucleotides long. The record is from the annotation of a GenBank genome assembly. Lineage: Eukaryota; Metazoa; Cnidaria; Anthozoa; Malacalcyonacea; Plexauridae.
CAUGUUGAAGAGCUGUUAAAGCGAUUCUACGCCUGGAUUUGUGAUAUAUAUAUAUAUAUAUAUAUAUAUAUAUAUAUAUAUCACAAAUCCAGGCGUAGAAUCGCUUUAACAGCUCUUCAACAUG